AUUAAAAUUUCAUGGGCGCUGCAGCAGCUACAAAGACGACGCCGGCUGCGCUCGCGGGACCAGAGGGAGGGAGGCUGCGGACGAGUGCGGGGAGGAGUUUGAGAUGGGAGGCGCUUGCAGGGGCUCCCCCAGUUCUGCGCUGUGAGCCGGGGCACAAAGAGCCCUCUGCACUAGCGCCGCAGGACCGCGGACCCGAGUUGGAGGCAUCUGUCCACCCAUGUGGUUCCAGACACGUUCAUGUGGCCACCAUGACCCCGUCGGCAUCACAGGGGUAACCAAGGUGAUCCUCCCUCUCUUCCUGUGUCCACUGGGGAUGGUAGAGACCAGCUUAAUGCUUUGAGAUCAGAUCCAUCACGAAAUCCGUAUGUCCUGAGACCUCCUGAAUCUUAAGAGAGCAGCAAGUUCCUGGGACAGAGGAGACAGAAGGGAAUUUCCAGGUUCUUCAGGACGUUCACAACCACACUGAGAAGCAUCUUUGCAGAUAAGUAUUUAAACUUACCAGCCCAUAGCCUACCAGCCUGCCCUCUUCUGGUCUGUGCAGGAAAGUGUAGUAUCCUAGAAUGCCAAAGUGGGAGGGGAAAUGGGUGAUGUAGCUCAUUCUCUUUUCUACCUCUAUGGAAGAAAGAAAGAGCCUGUCCCCAUUUUGUGGGGUCCCAGAAAGGGUGAUUUUCACACUUCACAUUUGGCGUUAGGGCUAGUAUUUCACAAACAUUACCGUCUGGAACUUUUGAAGGCUGAGUUAAAUGACUUCAUCUUGUGUACUUGUAGAACUGCUAUUAGAAGGAGGCUGGGGACUCCCUGAUGAUGUGAACCAGCCCUUCUCUUCUCAGUUUCAGCACUUUGUGAUCAUAUUUAUAAACCUUGGACAGGGCUCCUUGGCCUUAGAGUUAAGUGAAGAGUUAACACUGUGACUUUAGAUGCAUUUUUCUCAGUGUAAGUGUCUGAGCUCAUCUCCAGUUCUGGACUCGUGCCCCCACUCCCGGGUGCUGACAGCAAGCUCUGAAGAUAUGCUGAGAGAGCUCCCUGACUCUCCUGACUCAGGUCUGCCAGUUGAUGAAGACAGCACAGUUGUUACCAAAAA
This is a long non-coding RNA of Homo sapiens (human), 1081 nucleotides long. Ensembl annotates it as myocardial infarction associated transcript. Its record names the gene MIAT. The record is from Ensembl. Lineage: Eukaryota; Metazoa; Chordata; Mammalia; Primates; Hominidae.